GGGCCUAUAGCUCAGACGGUUAGAGCGCUUCGCUGAUAACGAAGAGGUCCCUGGUUCAAGUCCAGGUAGGCCCA
This 74-nucleotide transfer RNA is filed under the name Tamaricihabitans halophyticus. It matches the Rfam family "tRNA". Rfam says of the family: Transfer RNA (tRNA) molecules are approximately 80 nucleotides in length. Lineage: Bacteria; Bacillati; Actinomycetota; Actinomycetes; Pseudonocardiales; Pseudonocardiaceae. The record is from Rfam by way of RNAcentral. RNAcentral also lists the same sequence under 1 other name.